Molecule: transfer RNA, 77 nt
Filed under: Chloroflexi bacterium B3_Chlor
Lineage: Bacteria; Bacillati; Chloroflexota
Description: tRNA-Trp
Rfam family: tRNA
About the family: Transfer RNA (tRNA) molecules are approximately 80 nucleotides in length.
Source: RNAcentral
UAGCCUGUAGCUCAAGUUGGUAGGGCAGCGGUCUCCAAAACCGCAGGUUGCGGGUUCAAAUCCUGGCAGGCUUGCCA